This 393-nucleotide ribosomal RNA is filed under the name uncultured bacterium. Its description in RNAcentral is "partial 16S ribosomal RNA". It matches the Rfam family "Bacterial small subunit ribosomal RNA", at positions 523 to 918 of the family's 1533-position model. The record is from RNAcentral.
AUACGGAGGACGCGAGCGUUAUCCGGAUUCAUUGGGUUUAAAGGGUGCGCAGGCGGCCGUGCAAGUCAGCGGUGAAAGCCCGGGGCUCAACCCCGGAAGUGCCGUUGAUACUGCGUGGCUGGAAUGCGGUCGAGGCGGGCGGAACGGGGCGUGGCGGGGUGAAAUGCGUAGAUAUGCCACAGAAAGCCGAUAGCGGAGGCAGCUCGCCAGGCCUGCAUUGACGCUCGGGCACGAAAGCGGGGGGAUCGAACAGGAUUAGAUACCCUGGUAGUCCACGCCGUAAACGAUGGGCGCUCGUCGUCGGCGGCAGACAGUCGGCGGCCAAGCGAAAGCGAUAAGCGCCCCACCUGGGGAGUACGGUCGCAAGGCUGAAACUCAAAUGAAUUGACGGGG